ACGAAGGGGGCUAGCGUUGUUCGGAAUUACUGGGCGUAAAGGGCGCGUAGGCUGUGCUGUAAGUCAGGCGUGAAAUCCCCGGGCUCAACCUGGGAAUUGCGUUUGAUACUGCGGCGCUGGAAUGCAGGAGAGGAUGGCGGAAUUCCCAGUGUAGAGGUGAAAUUCGUAGAUAUUGGGAAGAACACCGGUGGCGAAGGCGGCCAUCUGGCCUGUAAUUGACGCUGAGGCGCGAAAGCGUGGGGAGCAAACAGGA
Molecule: ribosomal RNA, 253 nt
Filed under: uncultured prokaryote
Description: partial 16S ribosomal RNA
Rfam family: Bacterial small subunit ribosomal RNA
Source: RNAcentral